This 547-nucleotide small RNA is filed under the name Oryza sativa Japonica Group (Japanese rice). RNAcentral describes it as "sRNA Os06g0550266". The record is from RNAcentral. Lineage: Eukaryota; Viridiplantae; Streptophyta; Magnoliopsida; Poales; Poaceae.
AGGUCUUAAGAUGUAUUAGCCUGGGCCUUGUUGAGGAUAACACCUUCGUACUUGACCUGGAACCACUUCAUGGCAUCCUCCUUGGUCACCCGGUGCUGAAUGCCAACACGGGACUUGCACCUGCGACGGCGAGCAACACGGUAUCCAGCACGCUCAAGGACAACAUAGAAGUCCAUGCCAUAAAUACCUGUUGAAAAUCUUACUUGAUGCCAAGAUCAAUGUGCUCCUGGAUUCCAAAACCAAAACACCCAGUUUCACUGAAGUUUCUUCUCAGAAGUUCAUAUUCCUUCACCUUCAGUCCACUCUCAAGAAGCUGCAUUGCCUUCUCACCCCUAACAGUUACAUAGCACGCAAUCUUCUCAUUACGCCUGAUGCCAAAUGAGCGAACGGUGUAUCUAGCUGAAGAAAGUGGACAACCAAAACAACUCCUGGCCAAACCUUGGAGGCACGGGUGAGGCGAUCUCCGCUCUCCCCGACGGAGAUGUUGAGCACCAGCUUCUGCACCUUGAUCUCCCUCAUUGGGUUGGACUGCUUCUUCUCCGACGCC